UACGUAGGGGGCUAGCGUUGUCCGGAUUUAUUGGGCGUAAAGAGCGUGUAGGCGGCCAGGUAGGUCUGCUGUGAAAACUCGAGGCUCAACCUCGAGAUGUCGGCGGAAACCAUCUGGCUAGAGUCCGGAAGAGGAGAGUGGAAUUCCAGGUGUAGCGGUGAAAUGCGUAGAUAUCUGGAGGAACACCGGUGGCGAAGGCGGCAUCCUGGACCGGCAUUGACGCUGAGGCGCGAAAGCCAGGGGAGCAAACGGG
Molecule: ribosomal RNA, 253 nt
Filed under: uncultured bacterium
Lineage: Bacteria
Description: partial 16S ribosomal RNA
Rfam family: Bacterial small subunit ribosomal RNA
Source: RNAcentral